This 202-nucleotide long non-coding RNA is filed under the name Lathyrus oleraceus (garden pea). RNAcentral's name for it is "Pisum sativum (pea) long non-coding RNA (PSAT_LNC030455)". Lineage: Eukaryota; Viridiplantae; Streptophyta; Magnoliopsida; Fabales; Fabaceae. The record is from RNAcentral.
UUUGACUUGGAGCCCAAGAAAGUAUAUAUGUUCACCAACAAGACUCAUUUCAAACUCAGAUUGCAUUUUCCUGACAAAAUGUUGUACCAUCUAGUUUGACAUCCCUCCAAACACAAUGUCAUCAACAUAUAUUUGAGCUAUCAUGAGUUUACCAUGCUCUUCUUUAAAAAACGGUGUUUUAUCUGUUCCUACAUUCCGGUAU